RNAcentral lists this ribosomal RNA (317 nucleotides) under uncultured bacterium. RNAcentral's name for it is "bacterial LSU rRNA". It matches the Rfam family "Bacterial large subunit ribosomal RNA", at positions 115 to 451 of the family's 2925-position model. The record is from RNAcentral.
CGAGUGGGGAAACCCACCUGACACUCAACUAUUGUUUGCUUCUGGCAAUCGAUAGUCGGGUGAGGCCAGGUACUUUUAACCUGAAUACAUAGGGUUUUAAGAGCAAACCCGGGGAACUGAAACAUCUAAGUACCCGGAGGAAAGGACAUCAACCGAGACUCCGUUAGUAGUGGCGAGCGAACGCGGACCAGGCCGUGCAGUAAUAAAAGCCGAACCAGUUGGAAAGCUGGGCGAAAUGGGUGACAGCCCCGUAGGCGUUUAAAAAUCUGCCGUUAGAGUAGGGCGGGACACGUAAAAUCCUGUCUGAACAUGGGGGG